UAGGGAAUCUUCCACAAUGGACGCAAGUCUGAUGGAGCAACGCCGCGUGAGUGAAGAAGGUUUUCGGACCGUAAAGCUCUGUUGUUGGUGAAGAAGGAUAGAGGUAGUAACUGGCCUUUAUUUGACGGUAAUCAACCAGAAAGUCACGGCUAACUACGUGCCAGCAGCCGCGGUAAUACGUAGGUGGCAAGCGUUGUCCGGAUUUAUUGGGCGUAAAGCGAGCGCAGGCGGAAGAAUAAGUCUGAUGUGAAAGCCCUCGGCUUAACCGAGGAAUUGCAUCGGAAACUGUUUUCUUGAGUGCAGAAGAGGAGAGUAGAACUCCAUGUGUAGCGGUGGAAUGCGUAGAUAUAUGGAAGAAUACCAGUGGCGAAGGCGGCUCUCUGGUCUGCAACUGACGCUGAGGUUGCGAAAGCAUGGGUAGCGAACAGGAUUAGAUACCCUGGUAGUCCAUGCCGUAAACGAUGAGUGCUAAGUGUUGGGAGGCUUCCGCCUCUCAGUGCUGCAGCUAACGCAUUAAGCACUCCGCCUGGGGGAGUACGACCGCAAGGUUGAAAC
This 555-nucleotide ribosomal RNA is filed under the name uncultured bacterium. RNAcentral describes it as "partial 16S ribosomal RNA". It matches the Rfam family "Bacterial small subunit ribosomal RNA", at positions 355 to 900 of the family's 1533-position model. The record is from RNAcentral.